AUUGAACGCUGGCGGAAUGCUUUACACAUGCAAGUCGAACGGCAGCGCGGGCUUCGGCCUGGCGGCGAGUGGCGAACGGGUGAGUAAUAUAUCGGAACGUACCCAAGAGUGGGGGAUAACGUAGCGAAAGUUACGCUAAUACCGCAUACGAUCUAAGGAUGAAAGCAGGGGAUCGCAAGACCUUGUGCUCCUGGAGCGGCCGAUAUCUGAUUAGCUAGUUGGUGAGGUAAAGGCUCACCAAGGCAACGAUCAGUAGCUGGUCUGAGAGGACGACCAGCCACACUGGAACUGAGACACGGUCCAGACUCCUACGGGAGGCAGCAGUGGGGAAUUUUGGACAAUGGGGGCAACCCUGAUCCAGCAAUGCCGCGUGAGUGAAGAAGGCCUUCGGGUUGUAAAGCUCUUUUGUCAGGGAAGAAAAGGCUGUGGCUAAUAUCCACAGCUGCUGACGGUACCUGAAGAAUAAGCACCGGCUAACUACGUGCCAGCAGCCGCCGUAA
Molecule: ribosomal RNA, 500 nt
Filed under: uncultured bacterium
Lineage: Bacteria
Description: partial 16S ribosomal RNA
Rfam family: Bacterial small subunit ribosomal RNA
Source: RNAcentral